CCCUUAGAUGUUCUGGGCCGCACACGCGCUACACUGAAGGAGGCAGCGUGUACUCCUGGAUCGAAAGAUUUGGGUAACCCGCGAAUCUCCUUCGUGCUAGGGAUUGAGGUUUGCAAUUAUCCUUCAUGAACGAGGAAUUCCCAGUAAGUGCAAGUCAUAAGCUUGCGCUGACUACGUCCCUGCCCUUUGUACACACCGCCCGUCGCUCCUACCGAUUGAAUGGUCCGGUGAAGCGUUCGGACCGUGGCCUUUGGACGGUUCGCCGUCUGUUGGCUGCGGGAAGUUCGUUAAACCUUNUNAUUUAUNGGAAGGAGAANUCGUANCA
RNAcentral lists this ribosomal RNA (325 nucleotides) under uncultured eukaryote. RNAcentral's name for it is "partial 18S ribosomal RNA". It matches the Rfam family "Eukaryotic small subunit ribosomal RNA", at positions 1470 to 1796 of the family's 1831-position model. The record is from RNAcentral.